RNAcentral lists this ribosomal RNA (497 nucleotides) under uncultured bacterium. RNAcentral describes it as "partial 16S ribosomal RNA". It matches the Rfam family "Bacterial small subunit ribosomal RNA", at positions 28 to 507 of the family's 1533-position model. The record is from RNAcentral.
GACGAACGCUGGCGGCGUGCCUAAUACAUGCAAGUUGAGCGCUGAAGGUUGGUACUUGUACCAACUGGAUGAGCAGCGGACGGGUGAGUAACGCGUGGGGAAUCUGCCUUUGAGCGGGGGACAACAUUUGGAAACGAAUGCUAAUACCGCAUAAAAACUUUAAACACAAGUUUUAAGUGUGAAAGAUGCAAUUGCAUCACUCAAAGAUGAUCCCGCGUUGUAUUAGCUAGUUGGUGAGGUAAAGGCUCACCAAGGCGAUGAUACAUAGCCGACCUGAGAGGGUGAUCGGCCACAUUGGGACUGAGACACGGCCCAAACUCCUACGGGAGGCAGCAGUAGGGAAUCUUCGGCAAUGGACGAAAGUCUGACCGAGCAACGCCGCGUGAGGGAAGAAGGUUUUCGGAUCGUAAAACUCUGUUGGUAGAGAAGAAAGUUGGUGAGAGUGGAAAGCUCAUCAAGUGACGGUAACUACCCAGAAAGGGACGGCUAACUACGUG